This 471-nucleotide ribosomal RNA is filed under the name uncultured organism. RNAcentral's name for it is "partial 16S ribosomal RNA". It matches the Rfam family "Bacterial small subunit ribosomal RNA", at positions 334 to 797 of the family's 1533-position model. The record is from RNAcentral.
CACUCCUACGGGAGGCAGCAGUGGGGAAUUUUGGACAAUGGGCGAAAGCCUGAUCCAGCAAUGCCGCGUGAGUGAAGAAGGCCUUCGGGUUGUAAAGCUCUUUUGUCAGGGAAGAAACGGUGAAAGCUAAUAUCUUUUGCUAAUGACGGUACCUGAAGAAUAAGCACCGGCUAACUACGUGCCAGCAGCCGCGGUAAUACGUAGGGUGCAAGCGUUAAUCGGAAUUACUGGGCGUAAAGCGUGCGCAGGCGGUUUUGUAAGUCUGAUGUGAAAUCCCCGGGCUCAACCUGGGAAUUGCAUUGGAGACUGCAAGGCUAGAAUCUGGCAGAGGGGGGUAGAAUUCCACGUGUAGCAGUGAAAUGCGUAGAUAUGUGGAGGAACACCGAUGGCGAAGGCAGCCCCCUGGGUCAAGAUUGACGCUCAUGCACGAAAGCGUGGGGAGCAAACAGGAUUAGAUACCCCGGUAGUCCC